This 265-nucleotide unclassified non-coding RNA is filed under the name Hevea brasiliensis (rubber tree). Lineage: Eukaryota; Viridiplantae; Streptophyta; Magnoliopsida; Malpighiales; Euphorbiaceae. The record is from RNAcentral.
UUGCCUCCACGAUAACCUUCAUGAGGUGAACUUCUGAUGGGAGAGCUUGUUUCAACAGCAGUUAUCCUACCAACGUGGAGUGGGGCAGGGACACUUGGCGGUAACAUAUCCUUUUGUAUGGAAAUGUCACGAUAGAGAUAACUGCGUAACUCUGCAGUUACCUGCACAAGUGCAUUGCGGGCUGCUCUUAUCUCGCCUACAAUCUGUACGAGCUCAUCAGUUUCAGAUAUCCCAGGAGGAAGAUGUUCUUUUGAUAGGAUCUGGA